GGAUACGUGCCUGAAAUUAAAGGAUCACCUUGAUAGGGUGAAUCAUAGAGGCUAGACCCUCUCGUCUCCU
Molecule: transfer RNA, 70 nt
Filed under: Platysternon megacephalum (big-headed turtle)
Lineage: Eukaryota; Metazoa; Chordata; Testudines; Platysternidae
Description: tRNA-Ile
Source: RNAcentral